Long non-coding RNA from Equus caballus (horse), 1911 nucleotides. The record is from Ensembl. NCBI's taxonomy places the organism in Eukaryota, Metazoa, Chordata, Mammalia, Perissodactyla, Equidae.
AACUCGGUCAUGUGACCCAAUCUCCGGGCUGAAUAGUUCGAGGGUUCUUAGUGCUUCCUGCGAGCAGAGGCGGAAGAGGAGAAGACGGCCGACCGUUGGUCCUCGUGAGGAGACCCUCGUAGCUCCUGCCGAGACCGUUGCUCUUCCCCACGAGACCGUUGGGCUUGGAGAGCGCUAGGCAGUCCCAGCCACCGAUGGAACAGAGUUUGUCCUGGACUUAAUGCACUUGAAGGCAAGGACCAUAGCUGAUUAUAGCUGAUUAUCUCUGAAUCCCUAUGCCUGACACGUGAGUUAUGUGAAGAUGUGAUGCCAAAGCUGUUGCAGCCAUCUUGUAGCCGUGAGGGGAUAAACCAACUGUGACUACCAGAUGAUGCAGAGGAAAGCCUAGUUCCUUUCUGUAAUUCUGCUGUAGAACCGAUCCUGGAACUGCCUGCCUCAGGACUUCUGGAAAGGAUCAACUUUCCAUUAAAGAAAAAAGCAAAGAUUCAAAUGGAACCUAAAUUUUGAGGAAGUUGGAUUGCUGUCAGAAUAAAUGACAUUGGCACUGGAGACAGCAUCUUCCUCAUGAACAUGAACUUGAUAUAUGUUUAAUGUGAGUACGUUUUCUGUCAUUACUGGUAAAAGCAGGUAGGGUCUCCUUUUUGCAAAUGUGAGAACUUGAGGCUUGGGGAGGUUCAUGCCUUAUUUCAGUGGCCUGAAUUAUUUAUCAUUAAAAAAAUCUCUAUGGAAGGGCUGGCCCGGUGGUGCAGCGGUUAAAUUUGCACGUUCUGCUUCAGCCGUCCGGGGUUCACCGGUUCGCAUCCUGGGUGCAGACAUGGCACCACUUGGCAAGCCACGCAGUGGCAGGGGUACCACAUAUAAAGUAGAGGAAGAUGGGCACGGAUGUUCGCUCAGGGCCAACCUUCCUCAGCACACGUCUUGCUGUACACUUCUUGUUCAAGCAAAAUACUGAUGCACAGUGAAUGUGUAAACAUCUGCAGGGUUGGAAGGAGGCUUGAUGUCAUUGACUGGAAUGGCAAAGGGACCAGUAAAUGUAGACUCCUCUUCAACUUGCUGGUCUAAUUUAACAAAAGCUUAUGGAAAAUGUUUUGGGUCAAUAGAUGGUUCUGGUUACAUAUCUUAAAAUGUGGUUCUUGAAUUCCUUUUGAAUGCAUUGUGAGGUCUAUGUGAAGACAAGCUUCCUGCCCGAAUGAAACCCCACAUAGCGUGGGAAACUUGUGGUCAUGGUGAAUGCCAGUACUGCCCGAAGCAGGCCUCAAAUCACAAGUAUCAGAGACAGGUCAUUUCCUGCACUCACACACCAGAAGGUUACACAGCCUGCAGGUAUUAACUCAAGGCAUCAAGGUAGCAAAACAUUGGUUUUCAGGUAGUGGAGCCACUUUGCUUCCAGUUGAAGAAGUGGAGUCUUGGCAGUCACCUGCACACAGACAAAACUGGAGAACUUGAAUGCCUAAACCUGGACAUUGUCAUAGUAGGUUCUAAAAUUGUCUUCACAUGUUUCCCCCUUAAUCCCCACGACAAAUCUACGUCAGCGAGUUAGUAGAAGAUUCAGUGACAUGGGUUUGUCAAUGAUAGGGGUUCAUAGUGAGGAUAAAUAGGAAAAUCUACGUAGAAGCACCAAGUCCAUUUCCUGCUGUAAUUUUUUUACUGUGCAGAUGACAGAAAAACACAAGGUAAGUUUAUUUUUUAAGAAUUUUAAACUUCUUAAAUGUUUUGCAUGCAUUCUCAUUUCAGUAGUCUUUGGUCAGUAAUUCUUGACUUCAUUGGGGGCAGUACUUUUUUUUUAAUAAGAAUUCAUCAUAUUAUGUAAAUAAUGUUUGAUAAAUUUUUGUUGUGCUAAUAUCAUUGCUUUUAAUUUUCUGUUGAUUUUUCAAUUUCCGAAUGUAUUUUCUCUGUUUCCUUGAAUACUCA